RNAcentral lists this ribosomal RNA (119 nucleotides) under Pogona vitticeps (central bearded dragon). The record is from RNAcentral. Lineage: Eukaryota; Metazoa; Chordata; Lepidosauria; Squamata; Agamidae.
CCUGACCACCAAGCCACUCUGAACAUGACCAAUCUCACUUAAGUUUGGAAACUAAGCGGAGAGGGGCCUGAUUAGUGCUUAGAUGGGAGACCACCAGGAAACAAACAGGAAUUUCAAAG